CCUACGGGUGGCAGCAGUGGGGAAUAUUGCACAAUGGGGGAAACCCUGAUGCAGCGACGCCGCGUGAGUGAAGAAGUAAUUCGUUAUGUAAAGCUCUAUCAGCAGGGAAGAAAAUGACGGUACCUGAGGAAGAAGCCCCGGCUAACUACGUGCCAGCAGCCGCGGUAAUACGUAGGGGGCAAGCGUUAUCCGGAUUUACUGGGUGUAACGGGAGCGUAGACGGGAGUGCAAGUCUGGAGUGAAAGGCGGGGGCUCAACCCCCGGACUGCUCUGGAAACUGUACGGCGGGAGUGCAGGAGAGGUAAGUGGAAUUCCUAGUGUAGCGGUGAAAGGCGUAGAUAUUAGGAGGAACACCAGUGGCGAAGGCGGCUUACUGGACUGUAACUGACGUUGAGGCUCGAAAGCGUGGGGAGCAAACAGGAUUAGAUACCCGGGUAGUC
RNAcentral lists this ribosomal RNA (440 nucleotides) under uncultured bacterium. RNAcentral's name for it is "partial 16S ribosomal RNA". It matches the Rfam family "Bacterial small subunit ribosomal RNA", at positions 338 to 795 of the family's 1533-position model. The record is from RNAcentral.